Long non-coding RNA from Acanthochromis polyacanthus (spiny chromis), 1990 nucleotides. RefSeq lists it as uncharacterized. The record is from RefSeq and is a predicted model, not a curated record. The transcript has 2 exons. NCBI's taxonomy places the organism in Eukaryota, Metazoa, Chordata, Actinopteri, Pomacentridae.
UCAGGUCUAGACUCAACAUGUUGGCAUUGUUUUCUAUUAACCGGUUCUUCAACACUGUCUGUAUCAGCGCUCGAUUUAGACGGUCGCCAGGUUGCCAUUUCCAACUAAAAACCGAUUUUAGCGACCAAAAAUGACAAAAAACACGCUGGUUAGGGGCGAAAAUAUUUUGAUUUGGGCUACUGACCUCCAAAUCCAAGUCUCAGGGAUGGCAAUUUUCCGCGGAUCAGCGGAUUUCCACCGAUUUAAUUUCAAAUUUGAACACUUUAUUGUCGCUGAUGUUAAUGUCGUUAACAUCGCGAGACUCCGUCGGAUCCAGAACCAGCCCAGAAUGUGGUGGCGGCAUCCGGAGGACAGCACCAACUGAGCCUGAGCACCGCGAACGGAAAGCACCAAGCCACCGGAGCUGUCAUUUUUAACUCGGCGGGUCCGCCGGCUGCUCUCCCCGGUCACAGACUGCUCAGACUCCCCGGCUGGCUAGCUAUCCCCCGCUAGCUGCUCGGCUAACACCUGCUGCUCCUCGCCGCUCAUCUGCCCGGGACAAACCGCACCUGUUCCGGCUGUCAACGUCCCAGUCGCCCGCUAGGAGCUCCGGACAAUGCCCUGCUCAUUCGUGGGUGACUUUUCAUGGCCGUGGGGGGUUUUAAGGCACACUUUGCCCAGCGACCAGUGAUAGCUCGGCGGCUCCAACUAACAAGUUGACGUGGAGGAGGAACUGGACCCACCCCCCAAAAAAAAGUAGGAUUAAUUUUUUUGGCCACUAAAAGUUGAUUUUGGCUCCUAAAAAUGUCUAAAUUGACGUAUGUUGGUGGCCCAAAAAAUGUCAUUUGGGCGACCGGACCUCUCGGCCUUAAAUCGAGCGCUGCUGUAUAUUUCACAUCUUUGUCUUGUUUGAAGGUCCAGUGCUGCCCAAGGACAAGUUUUUUUCUGCGGCUUUCCUUCAGAAUCUUAAUGCAGUCCUGGUUUCUCAUGAUGCCAUUGACUUUGACAAGGCUGUCUAGUCCAUCGGCUGUAAAACAUCCCGAAAGCAUAACAAUACAAUACUAUGCCUUUUCCAAAGGGAAAUUCAAUUGUCUGGCCUCAUCUCUUUACUUUUGAAUAAAACAGUCUGAUUGCUGAUGGGAAGAAAGACUUUCUUUCAGACCUGCAGUGCAGGGAUAGGAGCCGUCCACCGAUGUUUUGUUGUCCACCGAGGCAGAUGUGAAGUGGAUGAUCCAGGUGAGCUUUUGGUUUGCAUCCAUGGAGACCAGCCUUGGAUACCACACUGCUCAGAUUCAUCAGGAUGCUUUUGGUGUUAUUUUUUUUUGCAGGGUGGAAUUUCUUGUCCUUCUUGAUAAUGCUUUGGACCCUGGUCUCUGGCACUUGAAAGCACUUUGGCUUUGUAGCCUUUCUUUGUGAGCAGCAGCUCUCUCUCUCAGUGAUGGACUCUAACAGCAAGCACACUAAUCUUUUCGGUUUUAGCAAUUUACUUAAUUGACUAGAAACUGACAAGUGAACUACUGCAUCAGCUGCAUUUAUAGAGUAUUAAAGUGCUGUAGAACUUGGAUCAUCAUUUAGAAGUGUUGAAGCUGCAUUUUCUUGACAACAAAGCAUCACCUUAGAGGUAUAAGUAAUUUUAAAGAUGACAUUUAUAGUAAAUGUGUAAAAAAACAAUCUUUGACACCUGAAACACAAAUUACUACCAUUUGUAAUUUGUUUAUGUCAUUUAUAACCUAUUGGUUCAAUAAAAAUUCAGCAUAAAUCAAAAUUUGGCAAGGUUAUGAGUAAUUUUGGGGGUAUACUGUCAGAUCAAAUAUUGCUAACAGAGAGGACAACAGGAUAAAACUAGAGGAAGCUGGAACCUUUAUGAAUUAAGUCUUAAAUUAGUAUUUUAAACAUCAUUUUAGUGGAAAAGCCUUGUGGAUCAAUUGUAAUGUCUUACUAAGCUACGGGUUUUUCAUAUGUUGUCAUGUGUAAGCAUCUCUACAAAUAAAGAUUCUGAUGUUUUCUUGUC